Molecule: non-coding RNA, 768 nt
Organism: Doryrhamphus excisus (bluestripe pipefish)
Lineage: Eukaryota; Metazoa; Chordata; Actinopteri; Syngnathiformes; Syngnathidae
Source: RefSeq, a predicted model, not a curated record
CAUCGAUGAGGGGUGCAGAAGUGGAGAGGAAAGAAGCUUUAUUUUCAUUCUUUUGUCCUUCAGUCGGCAGACACGCUCUCCCUAUUUAAAAGUCAAAAAGCAUAAAGUUAGAACCCCCCUCCCAUACGCUGAUAUGUAUCAUAAAGGCACGUAUAACGUACAUAAAUACUACAUUUAUAAUAGGAGGUCUAUUUUUUUAUGUCAUUUUUUGCUCACAUCAGCUGUAAAAGUGAUAUUUUCAUGUUUUGUUCACAACGAAAAUCCUUCAAGCUGUUUGCACAAAUGCUAAGCAGGGUUCAGUUCUGCAUGCUUGUACCCAGAAAUUAUCCAAACCGUAAUAACGAUGUAGGAUUAAACCCCUAAUAAUCAAGGUAUGCAUUAUGAAGUGUUGGCAGACCCCCUUUCUGUAUCAAUUGACGAUGCAGUGUUCCCUUCCUGUCACACCAAUCUCCCGACAAUCAAAGCAAAGCCGCAAGCAGGACCAAAUCCUUCACUUCUCAUUUUAGUGUUUUUUCCAUCAAAGCCUACCCUGUGUUUGCACUCCCACAAAAAGGAAGUCGGAAGAAGCAGAAGCUGAGAAGCUGGUCUAUGGUCAUGGCGGGGCCGCGUUUAUGAGCAAGAGGGGAAGUGGGGCCCUGACCAGCACACAGCUGCAGAUAUCUGCUGGAAAAGAAGGCGCCAUAAAGACAGCUUUUAAAAUAAAAUAUGGGAGAGGUUGUGUAGGAGAAAAAAUUCAUUUAAUCCAACGUCUGCAUGUGUCAGCUAUUA